RNAcentral lists this ribosomal RNA (226 nucleotides) under uncultured bacterium. RNAcentral describes it as "partial 16S ribosomal RNA". It matches the Rfam family "Bacterial small subunit ribosomal RNA", at positions 107 to 334 of the family's 1533-position model. The record is from RNAcentral.
UGAGUAACACGUAUCCAACCUGCCGUCUACUCUUGGACAGCCUUCUGAAAGGAAGAUUAAUACAAGAUGGCAUCAUGAGUUCACAUGUUCACAUGAUUAAAGGUAUUCCGGUAGACGAUGGGGAUGCGUUCCAUUAGAUAGUAGGCGGGGUAACGGCCCACCUAGCUUCGAUGGAUAGGGGUUCUGAGAGGAAGGUCCCCCACAUUGGAACUGAGACACGGUCCAA